AGCGAACGCUGGCGGCAGGCCUAACACAUGCAAGUCGAACGAACUCUUCGGAGUUAGUGGCGGACGGGUGAGUAACACGUGGGAACGUGCCUGUUGGUUCGGAAUAACUCAGGGAAACUUGUGCUAAUACCGAAUGUGCCCUUCGGGGGAAAGAUUUAUCGCCAUUAGAGCGGCCCGCGUCUGAUUAGCUAGUUGGUGAGGUAACGGCUCACCAAGGCGACGAUCAGUAGCUGGUCUGAGAGGAUGACCAGCCACACUGGGACUGAGACACGGCCCAGACUCCUACGGGAGGCAGCAGUGGGGAAUCUUGCGCAAUGGGCGAAAGCCUGACGCAGCCAUGCCGCGUGAAUGAUGAAGGUCUUAGGAUUGUAAAAUUCUUUAACCGGGGACGAUAAUGACGGUACCCGGAGAAGAAGCCCCGGCUAACUUCGUG
RNAcentral lists this ribosomal RNA (433 nucleotides) under uncultured bacterium. RNAcentral's name for it is "partial 16S ribosomal RNA". It matches the Rfam family "Bacterial small subunit ribosomal RNA", at positions 29 to 507 of the family's 1533-position model. The record is from RNAcentral.